Molecule: long non-coding RNA, 1330 nt
Organism: Tetranychus urticae (two-spotted spider mite)
Lineage: Eukaryota; Metazoa; Arthropoda; Arachnida; Trombidiformes; Tetranychidae
Source: RefSeq, a predicted model, not a curated record
AUUGUGAACAGCGAGUAGCGCUGUUUCCCCUGGUGUGAAUGAUUGCUCCGAACCUUUCAACCUAAAACUGCAAUUAAGGGUCACUUUUGAUCUAAAUUUGAUCCAAUGGUGACCAUAAUUGUACUCUUCACCUCGAAACCUUUCUGUUGAUACCAAGUUUCACCCCAAUCGUAUAAAAUAGUGAUUCUAACGUUUUUCUGUUCAAUCUCUUCUAGGCCAGUAACCAAAUGACCAAUGGAUAUUUUUGCCAUCCCUAAGUUAAUCGUGUUUACUUUAUUCAGCUUUGAGCCAUGUGCUGUUUGAUUUGAUUGUGAUGUUUAAUCAAUUACAACAAGAAACAAAUUAUGGAUUAUAUUUGGAUAAAUCGGAUUAAAAGAAAAUCUGAAAUUAAAAGACAAUUGCUGAAGGACAUGAUUGUAAAUUAUUAUAUCGGAUAAAUGGUGAACAUCGGAUGGUUUCAACAAAAUGAACUUCUGGUUGCUGAUAAUUCCUAUUGAGCGAUGAAAAUGAUUCAAUUUUACAUUUCUGUUCGUCACUCAUUUCUAUGGUCAAGGCCUGGUUGAUUCGUUUCAAGUCAAACUCUUUAGUUUCAACACAAUUACCAAUAAUUAUUGAUUUCAACCUUAUCGGUCGUCGAGUUAAAGAAAUCAAUCGUUUCCCUUGUAUACCGAGAUAGCUCCAUUUCAAGAUUUUGUCAAUACAUGAGGCUUCAUUGCAAGGUUCGCCCCUUCCUGGCUUUCGGUGGAUUCCAUGGUUGGCAUCUUUUAGGAAAAGGCAAAUAUAAUUAACGAAGAUUAUUUAUGGCAUAGCAUCGAAUGAUCAAAAUAUCAAGUCUUAUCGCUAAAGAAGCUGAAAAUCACAAGUUUCAAAUAAAACAAUAAAAGUAUAUGAUGAUCACAAAAGGAGACAAGACAAUCAAGGAAGUAUAAGAAGCAGAAAAUGGGAAAACAUAAACAACCUUUUUUAACAGGACCUUGAUAUCGAUCAAUAGUACCACAUGGAAGUUGUGAAAUAAAAAGAUGCCAAGUUAAAUUAUCGAGAUGAUUAGAGUAAUCAGAGUGUUUUUCAAUCAAUCCCAUCAAGUGAUGUUUAAAGGCUCUUUUACAUAGGACUUCGGCAUGACAGUCAAUGAGAACGUUUGAUAAUUUCGAUGGAUUUCCAGUUACACAUUUGGUUCCAGUUGUUAAGCAGGCAAGCUUAAAGCUAUCAGACUGUUCAUAGAGCAAACCACACAGUGUUGUCCAUUGAGUGUCCAAAGGCUUACCAGUUUUACCAAGACUGUUGAAACAAAGGCCAACAUAAAAUUAUGAUAUUGAAAUGAUACUACUGG